GGGUGUCCGGCUUGGCCGGUUAAUAGGGAAACAGGUGAGAAUCCUGUGCGGUGCCCGCCGCUGUCAGAAGGGAGUUUUCGGCCAUUGAUGCCACUGGGAGACCGGGAAGGCGGCCGGAAACCGUGAUCUUCAAGCCAGAAGACCUGCAC
This 149-nucleotide non-coding RNA is filed under the name bovine gut metagenome. The record is from RNAcentral.